Molecule: ribosomal RNA, 242 nt
Filed under: uncultured bacterium
Lineage: Bacteria
Description: partial 16S ribosomal RNA
Rfam family: Bacterial small subunit ribosomal RNA
Source: RNAcentral
CGACCGGCGCACGGGUGCGUAACGCGUAUGCAACCUACCUUUAACAGGGGGAGUAACACUGAGAAAUUGGUACUAAUACCCCAUAAUAUCAUAGAAGGCAUCUUUUAUGGUUGAAAAUUCCGAUGGUUAGAGAUGGGCAUGCGUUGUAUUAGCUAGUUGGUGGGGUAACGGCUCACCAAGGCGACGAUACAUAGGGGGACUGAGAGGUUAACCCCCCACACUGGUACUGAGGCACGGACCAG